CCUACGGGUGGCUGCAGUGGGGAAUAUUGCACAAUGGGGGAAACCCUGAUGCAGCGACGCCGCGUGAGUGAAGAAGUAUUUCGGUAUGUAAAGCUCUAUCAGCAGGGAAGAAAAUGACGGUACCUGAUUAAGAAGCCCCGGCUAACUACGUGCCAGGAGCCGCGGUUAUACGUAGGGGGCAAGCGUUAUCCGGAUUUAAUGGGGGUAAAGGGAGCGUAGACGGCAGCACAAGUCUGGAGUGAAAUGUCUGGGCUUAACCCCCGACCUGCUUUGGAAACUGUGCAGCUAGAGUGCAGGAGAGGUAAGUGGAAUGCCCAGUGUAGCGGUGAAAUGCGUAGAUA
This 341-nucleotide ribosomal RNA is filed under the name uncultured bacterium. RNAcentral's name for it is "partial 16S ribosomal RNA". It matches the Rfam family "Bacterial small subunit ribosomal RNA", at positions 338 to 696 of the family's 1533-position model. The record is from RNAcentral.